AGCAGUCCUGGGUUCCUGAUGCUGCCAUGGGCUCCAGGCUCCUCUGCUGGGUGAGUCUCUUCCUCCUGGGAGCAGGCCUGGUGGAGUCUGAAGUCACCCAGACCCCCAAAUACCUGAUCAAAUCAAGAAAGGAGAAAGUGACGCUGAGAUGUUCUCCUAAAUCUGGACACCGUUCUGUGUACUGGUAUCAGCAGGCCCUGGGCCAGGGCCCCCAGUUCCUCGUUCAGUAUUACAGUCAGCAAGUGAGCGGAGAAGCACAGCUCCCGGAUCGAUUCUCAGGAAAACAGUUUAGUGACUUUCACUCUGAGCUGAACUUGACUUCCUUGGAGCUGACAGACUCAGCCGUGUAUCUCUGUGCCAGCAGCCAAGACACAGCCCUGCAUGAUCAGGUGCCUCUGGGACAAAAACACUCCUGCCGCAGCUCAGGAAGUGGUGCCUGUGUGUCAGCUGCCAGCCUGCCAAGCCCAGUGUCUGGAAUCAUGGGCUUCUGUGAACAUGAGGAGCUGUACCUGCGUUUGACUGGUGGACUGUCUGCAGGGCUGGUCCAUGUGGAGCUGGACCACAUGGUGUCACUCAGGACCCCAGAUUCCAGGAUGUGA
This is a non-coding RNA of Capra hircus (goat), 599 nucleotides long. The record is from the annotation of a RefSeq genome assembly. NCBI's taxonomy places the organism in Eukaryota, Metazoa, Chordata, Mammalia, Artiodactyla, Bovidae.